UUUGGCAAAAGUGAUGCUGUGGCAGUGUCUUGCCCAGACUUAUGAUAGUGGGGGCUUCCAUUCCUGUCUUUUGGAACACUUGCCCCUGGAAGUCUGAGCCUUCAUGUAAGAAGUUUGGCUACUCUGCUGGAGAGGCCUCCUGGAGAGUACCCAAGAAUCUACCAAAAGGAGGUGGAGGUUGGCUCACGCAUCAGGCAUUUCCUUAGGAAAUCCCACCAUUGUCUGAUUGGGAAGGAAUGGCUUUCCCGACUGGUGCGACUAGGAAGAUCAUCCUCUGAAGGAAAAAACCCAGACGUUCUGUCUCCAAUAGAUUCCCAGUAUUCCCACCGUCCCAGCCUGUGGAGCUCCAUGCUUGUACCUUGUGCACUUUCUGAAUAACAAAGGUGCACUGGUUUUCGGCAGCACAGUGAGGACAGAAAGAUUAAUUUCAGGAGCAUAACAGGACCCAAACGACUGAAACAGAAAUAGCCACAUGCCAGGAUGAAGAUCUGUUUUCCCUUCUGUGCAGUCGUCCCC
RNAcentral lists this long non-coding RNA (516 nucleotides) under Equus caballus (horse). Its description in RNAcentral is "lncRNA (ENSECAG00000045371.1)". Lineage: Eukaryota; Metazoa; Chordata; Mammalia; Perissodactyla; Equidae. The record is from RNAcentral.